This 425-nucleotide ribosomal RNA is filed under the name uncultured bacterium. Its description in RNAcentral is "partial 16S ribosomal RNA". It matches the Rfam family "Bacterial small subunit ribosomal RNA", at positions 354 to 796 of the family's 1533-position model. The record is from RNAcentral.
GUGGGGAAUAUUGGACAAUGGGCGAAAGCCUGAUCCAGCCAUGCCGCGUGAGUGAUGAAGGCCCUAGGGUUGUAAAGCUCUUUCACCGGUGAAGAUAAUGACGGUAACCGGAGAAGAAGCCCCGGCUAACUUCGUGCCAGCAGCCGCGGUAAUACGAAGGGGGCUAGCGUUGUUCGGAAUUACUGGGCGUAAAGCGCACGUAGGCGGACUAUUAAGUCAGGGGUGAAAUCCCGGGGCUCAACCCCGGAACUGCCUUUGAUACUGGUAGUCUCGAGUCCGGAAGAGGUGAGUGGAAUUCCGAGUGUAGAGGUGAAAUUCGUAGAUAUUCGGAGGAACACCAGUGGCGAAGGCGGCUCACUGGUCCGGUACUGACGCUGAGGUGCGAAAGCGUGGGGAGCAAACAGGAUUAGAAACCCGAGUAGUCC